Molecule: long non-coding RNA, 404 nt
Filed under: Homo sapiens (human)
Lineage: Eukaryota; Metazoa; Chordata; Mammalia; Primates; Hominidae
Description: HSALNT0365989
Source: RNAcentral
AGGGGUUAGGGGUUAGGGGUUAGGGUUAGGGUUAGGGUUAGGGUAGGGUUAGGGUUAGGGUUAGGGUUAGGGUAGGGUUAGGGUUAGGGUUAGGGGUUAGGGUUAGGGUUAGGGUUAGGGUUACGGUUUGGGGUUGGGGUUAGGGUUAGGGUUAGGGUUAGGGGUAGGGUUAGGGUUAGGGUUAGGGUUAGGGUUAGGGUUAGGGUUAGGGUUAGGGUUAGGGUUAGGGUUAGGGUUAGGGUUAGGGGUUGGGUUGGGGUAGGGGUUUGGGUUAGGGGUUAGGGUUAGGGUUGGGGUAGGGUUAGGGUUAGGGUUAGGGUUAGGGUUAAGGUUAGGGUUAGGGUUAGGGUUAGGGUUAGGGUUAGGGUUAGGGUUAGGGUUAGGGUUAGGGUUAGGGUUAGGGU